UGCGUAGGCGGUUAUGCGUGUUGGAUGUGAAAUCCCACUGCUCAACAGUGGAACUGCAUUCAAAACUGCAUAGCUUGAGUACAGGGGAGGAGAGCGGAAUUCUUGGAGUAGCGGUGAAAUGCGUUGAUAUCAAGAAGAACACCGGCGGCGAAGGCGGCUCUCUGGAAUGUAACUGACGCUGAGGCACGAAAGUUGGGGUAGCAAACAGGAUUAGAUACCCUGGUAGUCC
Molecule: ribosomal RNA, 229 nt
Filed under: uncultured bacterium
Lineage: Bacteria
Description: partial 16S ribosomal RNA
Rfam family: Bacterial small subunit ribosomal RNA
Source: RNAcentral